UGUUCGAUUUGCUUUGUGCUUUAUUGAGUUGAUUUUGGAGGGACACUAGCUCCCUGAAACGAAAUUUUACAUGUGUGUGCUACUGAUUUUGAGCAUAAAGGCAGCCUAUUGUACUCUUGUUCCAUUUGUGUUAAAGCUCUAAGAAUGCUACUACUGUUAUGAGAUUCCUAUAACCAUGGUUCUAUGUUCUUGAGCUAGCAUGAUGUUCUAAACAAGGGCAGAGGGUGUGCUUGUGUUAUAUUGGUUGUGGUCCUUAAUUUGUGGUGCCUCUAUAUGAUGACAUGAAAAACUGGAUUGGGAGAAAGGGGGUGGAGGUGUUUACCUCUCGGUAUCACGGCUGCUUCGAGAAAAUCUGCCUUUGGUCUCGGUUUUCCUCCCUCUCGAGCUGGCUACUGCUUGUUCUUGGUUUUCACUAGAGUUUUGCUGAAUUUUGUGAUGUGUAGGAGGGUGUUCAAAGGUGGUGUGGGUGGGCUUUUUAUAGGCUGAAAUCUUGAGGUACUAUGGGGGAUUAAUUGGGGUUGUCACACUAUUUUGUUCCCAUCCUACAGAGGAUCUCCUUUGACUAUGAUUCUGCAGUAGGAUAUACUUGAGAGAUGGCUUUAUUUGAGUACUUAGUACAUGGAUAUUAAUUCAUACUUGUUUGUUGUGGCUGGUGAGAAACAGGUGCUGCAUUGGCGUGACAUAUUGCAGGCUGGACUGCCCUUUUUGGGUUGGGAGGAGACUGGCCGCCGAGCUGCUGCCCGGGGCGGAUCGAUGCUUCGGGCUCCACGGCUGAUCGGCUACAGCCGUGAACUCUCGGCCCGGAGGAAGAGGCCCGAUGCCAUUUGUUCCAUGCACAUUUUACCUUUCCCUUUCUUCCUUUCCUUUAUUGGAAGCCUUGUUCUAAGUAUUGUAGUAUUUUGAAAAUUAGUUGUUCGUUUAUUGUAUAAGAAUUGCUAUUCGAAAAUU
Molecule: non-coding RNA, 948 nt
Organism: Salvia hispanica
Lineage: Eukaryota; Viridiplantae; Streptophyta; Magnoliopsida; Lamiales; Lamiaceae
Source: RefSeq, a predicted model, not a curated record